Molecule: ribosomal RNA, 301 nt
Filed under: uncultured bacterium
Lineage: Bacteria
Description: partial 16S ribosomal RNA
Rfam family: Bacterial small subunit ribosomal RNA
Source: RNAcentral
CAGCCGCCGCGGUAAUACGAAGGGUGCAAGCGUUAAUCGGAAUUACUGGGCGUAAAGCGUGCGCAGGCGGUUUGUUAAGACAGAUGUGAAAUCCCCGGGCUCAACCUGGGAACUGCAUUUGUGACUGGCAGGCUAGAGUAUGGCAGAGGGGGGUGGAAUUCCGCGUGUAGCAGUGAAAUGCGUAGAUAUGCGGAGGAACACCGAUGGCGAAGGCAGCCCCCUGGGCCAAUACUGACGCUCAUGCACGAAAGCGUGGGGGGCAAACAGGAUUAGAUACCCCCGUAGUCCCUGUCUCUUAUAC